AAUGGUUUAAUCUGGAAAUCCUGUGGAAACUCUACUCUGGUGGAGAUUGGAGCUGAGCAGGGGACAAUCAGUUCCCUACAUGAAAUUCUUACAUCGGAAUUCACUCAUUCCCUCCUGUAAGGAUUUGAAGGGCUCCUCUGUUUGUUAUAACAGAGGACAAAGGGAAGGGAUGCAGAAGCCAUGAGCUCUUUACUUGAAAACAAAGAGCAAGCUGUUGAUUCAACGGGAGUCUGCAUACCAACAAAUAAGACAUUGGAAAGGCCCAUACCCGGAGGGAAGCAACCUUCCUCAUUAAGGUCUAUGUAAAGAAGAAAGAGGAAAAAGAGGAAGAAAGGCACAAGGAGCCACUGGUUUCCUAGGAAGACCUGCUUUCCUGCUCAGUCUUACAUCUUGCUGAAGAAAAGAACCAUUAGCAAUCUACAAUGCUCUUAUUAAAUAAUGAUAAACUGGCA
This is a long non-coding RNA of Mus musculus (house mouse), 452 nucleotides long. RefSeq annotates it as predicted gene, 35251. The transcript is spliced from 2 exons. Lineage: Eukaryota; Metazoa; Chordata; Mammalia; Rodentia; Muridae. The record is from RefSeq and is a predicted model, not a curated record.